GACGAACGCUGGCGGCGUGCUUGACACAUGCAAGUCGAACGGAAAGGCCCUGCUUUUGUGGGGUGCUCGAGUGGCGAACGGGUGAGUAACACGUGAGUAACCUGCCCUUGACUUUGGGAUAACUUCAGGAAACUGGGGCUAAUACCGGAUAGGAGCUCCUGCUGCAUGGUGGGGGUUGGAAAGUUUCGGCGGUUGGGGAUGGACUCGCGGCUUAUCAGCUUGUUGGGGGGGUAGUGGCUUACCAAGGCUUUGACGGGUAGCCGGCCUGAGAGGGUGACCGGCCACAUUGGGACUGAGAUACGGACCAGACUCCUACGGGAGGCAGCAGUGGGGAAUAUUGCACAAUGGGCGGAAGCCUGAUGCAGCAACGCCGCGUGCGGGAUGACGGCCUUCGGGUUGUAAACCGCUUUCGCCUGUGACGAAGCGUGAGUGACGGUAAUGGGUAAAGAAGCACCGGCUAACUACGUG
RNAcentral lists this ribosomal RNA (468 nucleotides) under uncultured bacterium. RNAcentral describes it as "partial 16S ribosomal RNA". It matches the Rfam family "Bacterial small subunit ribosomal RNA", at positions 28 to 507 of the family's 1533-position model. The record is from RNAcentral.